CGGAGUGGCGAACGGGUGAGUAAUAUAUCGGAACGUACCGAGUAACGGGGGAUAACUAAUCGAAAGACUAGCUAAUACCGCAUAUUCUCUGAGGAGGAAAGCAGGGGACCUUCGGGCCUUGCGUUAUUCGAGCGGCCGAUAUCUGAUUAGCUAGUUGGUGGGGUAAAGGCCUACCAAGGCGACGAUCAGUAGCGGGUCUGAGAGGAUGAUCCGCCACACUGGGACUGAGACACGGCCCAG
RNAcentral lists this ribosomal RNA (240 nucleotides) under uncultured bacterium. Its description in RNAcentral is "partial 16S ribosomal RNA". It matches the Rfam family "Bacterial small subunit ribosomal RNA", at positions 91 to 334 of the family's 1533-position model. The record is from RNAcentral.